CACCGCGGUUAUACGAGAGGCCCAAGUUGACAGACACCGGCGUAAAGCGUGGUUAAGAUAAACUGGAACUAAAGCCGAACAUCUUCAGGGCAGUUAUACGCAUCCGAAGACACGAAGCCCCACCACGAAAGUGGCUUUAUUAUUACUGACCCCACGAAAGCUAUGGUA
This 168-nucleotide ribosomal RNA is filed under the name Cubiceps pauciradiatus (longfin fathead). Its description in RNAcentral is "partial small subunit ribosomal RNA". Lineage: Eukaryota; Metazoa; Chordata; Actinopteri; Scombriformes; Nomeidae. The record is from RNAcentral.